This 497-nucleotide ribosomal RNA is filed under the name uncultured bacterium. RNAcentral's name for it is "partial 16S ribosomal RNA". It matches the Rfam family "Bacterial small subunit ribosomal RNA", at positions 28 to 507 of the family's 1533-position model. The record is from RNAcentral.
GAUGAACGCUGGCGGCGUGCCUAAUACAUGCAAGCCGAGCGAACGGACGAGAAGCUUGCUUCUCUGAUGUUAGCGGCGGACGGGUGAGUAACACGUGGAUAACCUACCUAUAAGACUGGGAUAACUUCGGGAAACCGGAGCUAAUACCGGAUAAUAUUUUGAACCGCAUGAUUCAAAAGUGAAAGACGGUCUUGCUGUCACUUAUAGAUGGAUCCGCGCUGCAUUAGCUAGUUGGUAAGGUAACGGCUUACCAAGGCAACGAUGCAUAGCCGACCUGAGAGGGUGAUCGGCCACACUGGAACUGAGACACGGUCCAGACUCCUACGGGAGGCAGCAGUAGGGAAUCUUCCGCAAUGGGCGAAAGCCUGACGGAGCAACGCCGCGUGAGUGAUGAAGGUCUUCGGAUCGUAAAACUCUGUUAUUAGGGAAGAACAUAUGUGUAAGUAACUGUGCACAUCUUGACGGUACCUAAUCAGAAAGCCACGGCUAACUACGUG